AACGAACGCUGGCGGCGCGCCUAAUACAUGCAAGUCGAGCGAGAAGGUGUAGCAAUACACUUGUAAAGCGGCGAACGGGUGAGGAAUGCAUGGGUAACCUACCCUCGAGUGGGGAAUAACUAGCCGAAAGGUUAGCUAAUACCGCAUACGUUUCCGGAACUUCGGUUUCGGAAAGAAAGCAAUACCGUGGGUAUUGCGCUCCUGGAUGGGCUCAUGUCCUAUCAGCUUGUUGGUGAGGUAACGGCUCACCAAGGCUUCGACGGGUAGCUGGUCUGAGAGGACGAUCAGCCACACUGGCACUGCGACACGGGCCAGACUCCUACGGGAGCAGCAGUAAGGAAUAUUGCGCAAUGGACGAAAGUCUGACGCAGCGACGCCGCGUGGGGGAUGAAGGUCUUCGGGAUUGGUAAACCCCUUUCGGGAGGGAGAUGGAGUGGGUAACCACUUGGACGGUACCUCCAGAAGCAGCCACGGCUAACUUCGUGCCAGCAGCCGCGGUAAU
RNAcentral lists this ribosomal RNA (502 nucleotides) under uncultured bacterium. RNAcentral describes it as "bacterial SSU rRNA". It matches the Rfam family "Bacterial small subunit ribosomal RNA", at positions 29 to 524 of the family's 1533-position model. The record is from RNAcentral.